This 1643-nucleotide long non-coding RNA is filed under the name Marmota monax (woodchuck). Lineage: Eukaryota; Metazoa; Chordata; Mammalia; Rodentia; Sciuridae. The record is from RNAcentral.
GCUGUCUCUAAAUAAAAUACAAAAAGGGCUGGGGAUGUGGCUCAGUGGUUAAGUGCCCCUGGGUGCAAUCUUAGGAAUGAAAAAUAAUAUUAAUAAAAUUAAAAAUGUAUCCACAAAUGUUGAUUUUGGGUUGGGGAUUGUGGUAAGUGAGGGAGAUGAAGAUGAAUUGGAAACUAUCUCUAACCUUGCUGGAGUAAAGUGAAGAAAGGUCUAAUGGAUAUUUAGGGUUAUAGACCAACUGUUAUGGUUUAGAUAUAUGGUGUUUCCCCCAAAGCUCAUGUGUUAGAUAAUACAAGAAUUUUCAGAGGCAGAAUGAUUGGAUUAUAAAAACCUUGACCUGAUUAGUGGAUUAAUUCCCUGAUAUGGAUUAAAUGGAUAGUAAGUGGGCAGGUAGGGUGUGAUUGGAAGAGGUAGAUCACUGGGGGCAUGCUUUUGGGUCUAUAUUUUAUCUCUGGUGAGCAGAGUUCUCUUCUCUGCCUGAAUGUCAUGUCCUGAGCUGCUUUCCUCCUCAGGAAAGCAUCAGGACUGCUUUGCCUGCCCUGAUGCUCUGCCUCAUCUUGGGCAAGCUCAGUCCCUGGUUAUCUGUGAUAGAAAGCAGACAGUUGGGGAUGAGGGUGUGGUGUAUCAUCCUGACUGUCUGAUUCCCAGGAACUAUGAAUGGAGACAAGAGCCGGUUCUAGAAGCAAGUUGCUAAAGAGAAUAAGGUCCUCAUCAUGUCAAGCAUUUUGAAUAUGGAUGUGCAAAGCUAAGUGUAUCUGAGGAGAAUCAAAAUGCAAAAUAUGCUGUAGCUAGAAAUCCAGUACUUCAGGGCAGAAACAAAUGACCAACAUCAUGAAUAAGAAGAGUAGAAACCUAAUUAAUGGGAAGGCAGAAUUGGUGGGCCACCCAGCUAUUCCAUCUUUGUCUUGGAAUCAAGACCCAAACCCAGUGCAAACUACCAUACUCCUAAAAAAUGAGAUGGGUUGAGACUUUUUGGAUGUCUACAUGUAGAUUCUCCCUUGCAAAUCCUAGGCACAUACCCUCUUCCCUCAUCCUUCCCUCCCACUAUCACUACCAUUAGGAAAACAAAUACUAUAUGAUAUCACUUAUAUAUGAAAACUCCAAAAUUUGAUCUCAAAGAAGUAGAAAGUAGAGUAGUGAUUACCAGAGCCUGGGAAAGGUAAGAGCAAGAAGGGAAUGGAGAAAAGAUGGUACCGAAGAGCAGUUGGAUAGUUUCUAAUAUUCUAUAGCAUAGUAGGCUAACUAUGGUCAACAACAACUAAUUCUACUACACAUCAAAAUAGCUAAUAGAGGGUUUUGAAUGUUUCCAAUACAAAGAAAAAUAAAAUGUUGACAGUGGUGAAUAUGCCAGUUACCAUAAUCUGGUUAUUACACAUGGUAUACAUGUGUUAAAAUAUCACAUUAUAUGCCCAAAGUAUAUACAUGUAUUUUGAAUCAAUCAAAAAAGUAAAUUUUAAACAGAAUUAGAAAACAAAACAUUUUUUUAAAAAAUCCAGAGCAUAUAUGAUUCCAUAAAUGUUUGUUAAAGGUGUAUUUAUAUAUUUUGAAUGCUUACAAUAGGAUACAGAAGGAUACAUGCUUAUGCAUCAAACCAUUACUAGUUAAAAACGUCAAUUAUUUAAAAAAAGAAAAAUACAGAUCCU